UACGUAGGUUGCAAGCGUUGUCCGGAAUUACUGGGCGUAAAGCGCGCGCAGGCGGCCUCUUAAGUCUAAUGUGAAAGCCUCCGGCUCAACCGGGGAGGGCCAGUGGAAACUGGGAAGCUAGAGUAUAGGAGAGAAGAGUGGAAUUCCACGUGUAGCGGUGAAAUGCGUAGAGAUGUGGAGGAACACCAGUGGCGAAGGCGCCUCAUUGGCCUAUAACUGACGCUGAGGCGCGAAAGCGUGGGGAGCAAACAGG
This 253-nucleotide unclassified non-coding RNA is filed under the name uncultured Caryophanales bacterium. RNAcentral's name for it is "uncultured Bacillales bacterium contains 16S-23S intergenic spacer region". It matches the Rfam family "Bacterial small subunit ribosomal RNA", at positions 524 to 776 of the family's 1533-position model. Lineage: Bacteria; Bacillati; Bacillota; Bacilli; Caryophanales. The record is from RNAcentral.